RNAcentral lists this ribosomal RNA (424 nucleotides) under Salmonella enterica subsp. enterica serovar Infantis. RNAcentral describes it as "bacterial SSU rRNA". It matches the Rfam family "Bacterial small subunit ribosomal RNA", at positions 1 to 421 of the family's 1533-position model. RNAcentral also lists the same sequence under 2 other names. The record is from RNAcentral. Lineage: Bacteria; Pseudomonadati; Pseudomonadota; Gammaproteobacteria; Enterobacterales; Enterobacteriaceae.
AAAUUGAAGAGUUUGAUCAUGGCUCAGAUUGAACGCUGGCGGCAGGCCUAACACAUGCAAGUCGAACGGUAACAGGAAGCAGCUUGCUGCUUCGCUGACGAGUGGCGGACGGGUGAGUAAUGUCUGGGAAACUGCCUGAUGGAGGGGGAUAACUACUGGAAACGGUGGCUAAUACCGCAUAACGUCGCAAGACCAAAGAGGGGGACCUUCGGGCCUCUUGCCAUCAGAUGUGCCCAGAUGGGAUUAGCUUGUUGGUGAGGUAACGGCUCACCAAGGCGACGAUCCCUAGCUGGUCUGAGAGGAUGACCAGCCACACUGGAACUGAGACACGGUCCAGACUCCUACGGGAGGCAGCAGUGGGGAAUAUUGCACAAUGGGCGCAAGCCUGAUGCAGCCAUGCCGCGUGUAUGAAGAAGGCCUUCGG